RNAcentral lists this ribosomal RNA (117 nucleotides) under Candidatus Poribacteria bacterium. The record is from RNAcentral. Lineage: Bacteria; Candidatus Poribacteria.
UCCGGUGGCAAGAGCGGAGGGGAAACACCCGUACCCAUUCCGAACACGGCAGUUAAGCCCUUCAGCGCUGAUGAUACUUCGAGGGUAACCUCGUGGGAAAGUAGGUCGUUGCCGGGA